CUACGGGUCGCUGCAGUGAGGAAUAUUGGACAAUGGAGGCAACUCUGAUCCAGCCAUGCCGCGUGCAGGAAGACUGCCCUAUGGGUUGUAAACUGCUUUUAUACAGGGAGAACACCAUUACGUGUAAUGGUUUGACGGUACUGUAUGAAUAAGCACCGGCUAACUCCGUGCCAGCAGCCGCGGUAAUACGGAGGGUGCAAGCGUUAUCCGGAUUCAUUGGGUUUAAAGGGUGCGUAGGCUGCGCAUUAAGUCAGUGGUGAAAGCAUGGGGCUCAACCCCGUAACUGCCAUUGAUACUGAUGUGCUUGAAUUUAUUCGACGAGAGAGGAAUGCGACAAGUAGCGGUGAAAUGCAUAGAUAUGUCGCAGAACACCGAUAGCGAAGGCAUCUCUCGAGGGUAUAAUUGACGCUGAGGCACGAAAGCGUGGGUAGCAAACAGGAUUAGAUACCCCUGUAGUC
Molecule: ribosomal RNA, 458 nt
Filed under: uncultured bacterium
Lineage: Bacteria
Description: partial 16S ribosomal RNA
Rfam family: Bacterial small subunit ribosomal RNA
Source: RNAcentral